Molecule: ribosomal RNA, 492 nt
Filed under: uncultured bacterium
Lineage: Bacteria
Description: partial 16S ribosomal RNA
Rfam family: Bacterial small subunit ribosomal RNA
Source: RNAcentral
AGUGAACGCUGGCGGUAGACCUAACACAUGCAAGUCGAACGGCAGCACAGUAAGAGCUUGCUCUUACGGGUGGCGAGUGGCGGACGGGUGAGGAAUACAUCGGAAUCUACUUUUUCGUGGGGGAUAACGUAGGGAAACUUACGCUAAUACCGCAUACGACCUACGGGUGAAAGCAGGGGAUCUUCGGACCUUGCGCGAUUGAAUUAGCCGAUGUCGGAUUAGCUAGUUGGCGGGGUAAAGGCCCACCAAGGCGACGAUCCGUAGCUGGUCUGAGAGGAUGAUCAGCCACACUGGAACUGAGACACGGUCCAGACUCCUACGGGAGGCAGCAGUGGGGAAUAUUGGACAAUGGGCGCAAGCCUGAUCCAGCCAUACCGCGUGGGUGAAGAAGGCCUUCGGGUUGUAAAGCCCUUUUGUUGGGAAAGAAAAGCAGCAGGUUAAUACCCAGCUGUUCUGACGGUACCCAAAGAAUAAGCACCGGCUAACUUCGUG